UACGAAGGGGGCUAGCGUUGCUCGGAAUCACUGGGCGUAAAGCGCACGUAGGCGGAUCUUUAAGUCAGGGGUGAAAUCCUGGAGCUCAACUCCAGAACUGCCUUUGAUACUGAAGAUCUUGAGUUCGGGAGAGGUGAGUGGAACUGCGAGUGUAGAGGUGAAAUUCGUAGAUAUUCGCAAGAACACCAGUGGCGAAGGCGGCUCACUGGCCCGAUACUGACGCUGAGGCACGAAAGCGUGGGGAGCAAACAGGG
Molecule: ribosomal RNA, 254 nt
Filed under: uncultured bacterium
Lineage: Bacteria
Description: partial 16S ribosomal RNA
Rfam family: Bacterial small subunit ribosomal RNA
Source: RNAcentral